AUACGGAGGGUGCAAGCGUUAAUCGGAAUUACUGGGCGUAAAGAGUACGUAGGUGGUUUGUUUAGUCAGAUGUGAAAGCCCAGGGCUUAACCUUGGAACUGCAUUUGAAACUGGCAAGCUAGAGUAUGGUAGAGGGGGGUAGAAUUCAUAGUGUAGCGGUGAAAUGCGUAGAUAUUAUGAGGAAUACCGGUGGCGAAGGCGGCCCCCUGGCCCAAUACUGACACUGAGGUACGAAAGCGUGGGUAGCGAACAGGAUUAGAAACCCCAGUAGUCC
RNAcentral lists this ribosomal RNA (274 nucleotides) under uncultured bacterium. RNAcentral's name for it is "partial 16S ribosomal RNA". It matches the Rfam family "Bacterial small subunit ribosomal RNA", at positions 523 to 796 of the family's 1533-position model. The record is from RNAcentral.